Molecule: ribosomal RNA, 484 nt
Filed under: uncultured bacterium
Lineage: Bacteria
Description: partial 16S ribosomal RNA
Rfam family: Bacterial small subunit ribosomal RNA
Source: RNAcentral
AUUGAACGCUGGCGGCAGGCCUAACACAUGCAAGUCGAGCGGAUGAAGGGAGCUUGCUCCUGGCUUCAGCGGCGGACGGGUGAGUAAUGCCUAGGAAUCUGCCUGGUAGUGGGGGAUAACGUCCGGAAACGGGCGCUAAUACCGCAUACGUCCUGAGGGAGAAAGUGGGGGAUCUUCGGACCUCACGCUAUCAGAUGAGCCUAGGUCGGAUUAGCUAGUUGGUGGGGUAAAGGCCUACCAAGGCGACGAUCCGUAACUGGUCUGAGAGGAUGAUCAGACACACUGGAACUGAGACACGGUCCAGACUCCUACGGGAGGCAGCAGUGGGGAAUAUUGGACAAUGGGCGAAAGCCUGAUCCAGCCAUGCCGCGUGUGUGAUGAAGGUCUUCGGAUUGUAAAGCGCUUUAAUUUGGGACGAAGAGCAUUAAGUUAAUACCUGGCUGUUUUGACGGUACCAUCAGAAUAAGCACCGGCUAACUUCGUG